CCUACGGGAGGCAGCAGUGGGGAAUAUUGGGCAAUGGGCGCAAGCCUGACCCAGCAACGCCGCGUGAAGGAAGAAGGCUUUCGGGUUGUAAACUUCUUUUCUCAGGGACGAAGCAAGUGACGGUACCUGAGGAAUAAGCCACGGCUAACUACGUGCCAGCAGCCGCGGUAAUACGUAGGUGGCAAGCGUUAUCCGGAUUUACUGGGGGUAAAGGGAGUGUAGGCGGGGACGCAAGUCAGAUGUGAAAACCACGGGCUCAACCUGUGGCCUGCAUUUGAAACUGUGUUUCUUGAGUACUGGAGAGGCAGACGGAAUUCCUGGUGUAGCGGUGAAAUGCGUAGAUAUUGGGAGGAACACCAGUGGCGAAGGCGGGCUGCUGGACAGCAACUGACGCUGAGGCGCGAAAGCGUGGGGAGCGAACAGGAUUAGAUACCCUUGUAGUC
RNAcentral lists this ribosomal RNA (443 nucleotides) under uncultured bacterium. Its description in RNAcentral is "partial 16S ribosomal RNA". It matches the Rfam family "Bacterial small subunit ribosomal RNA", at positions 338 to 795 of the family's 1533-position model. The record is from RNAcentral.